ACGACGUAUAGGGUCUGACGCCUGCCCGGUGCCUGAAGGUUAAAAGGAGGGGUGAGAGCUCCGAAUUGAAGCCCAGGUAAACGGCGGCCGUAACAAUAACGGUCCUAAGGUAGCGAAAUUCCUUGUCGGGUAAGUUCCGACCUGCACGAAUGGUGUAACCAUGGCCACGCUGUCUCCACCCGAGACUCAGUGAAAUUGAAAUCGCAGUGAAGAUGCUGUGUACCCGCACCUAGACGGAAAGACCCCGUGAACCUUUACUACAGCUUGGCACUGAACAUUGAACCUACAUGUGUAGGAUAGGUGGGAGGCUUUGAAGCAGCGGCGCCAGUCGUUGUGGAGCCAUCCUUGAAAUACCACCCUUAUCUUCGUGGAUGUCUAACUGCGGUCCGUUAUCCGGAUCCAGGACAGUGUGUGGUGGGUAGUUUGACUGGGGUGGUC
This 438-nucleotide ribosomal RNA is filed under the name Asterionellopsis glacialis. RNAcentral describes it as "partial Bacterial large subunit ribosomal RNA". It matches the Rfam family "Bacterial large subunit ribosomal RNA", at positions 1838 to 2284 of the family's 2925-position model. Lineage: Eukaryota; Bacillariophyta; Plagiogrammaphyceae; Rhaphoneidales; Asterionellopsidaceae. The record is from RNAcentral.